This 491-nucleotide ribosomal RNA is filed under the name uncultured bacterium. Its description in RNAcentral is "partial 16S ribosomal RNA". It matches the Rfam family "Bacterial small subunit ribosomal RNA", at positions 29 to 507 of the family's 1533-position model. The record is from RNAcentral.
AGUGAACGCUGGCGGUAGGCCUAACACAUGCAAGUCGAACGGCAGCACCGUAAGAGCUUGCUCUUACGGGUGGCGAGUGGCGGACGGGUGAGGAAUACAUCGGAAUCUACUUUUUCGUGGGGAUAACGUAGGGAAACUUACGCUAAUACCGCAUACGACCUACGGGUGAAAGCAGGGGAUCUUCGGACCUUGCGCGAUUGAAUGAGCCGAUGUCGGAUUAGCUAGUUGGCGGGGUAAAGGCCCACCAAGGCGACGAUCCGUAGCUGGUCUGAGAGGAUGAUCAGCCACACUGGAACUGAGACACGGUCCAGACUCCUACGGGAGGCAGCAGUGGGGAAUAUUGGACAAUGGGCGCAAGCCUGAUCCAGCCAUACCGCGUGGGUGAAGAAGGCCUUCGGGUUGUAAAGCCCUUUUGUUGGGAAAGAAAAGCAGCAGGUUAAUACCCCGCUGUUCUGACGGUACCCAAAGAAUAGGCACCGGCUAACUUCGUG